Lolium rigidum is the source of this 1136-nucleotide long non-coding RNA. RefSeq lists it as uncharacterized. The transcript has 6 exons. The record is from RefSeq and is a predicted model, not a curated record. Lineage: Eukaryota; Viridiplantae; Streptophyta; Magnoliopsida; Poales; Poaceae.
CUUCUCUGGUGGACUGGACGGAGGCUGAGCCUUUCAACAGGAGAAGUGGCGGAGGGAGUGGAGACUGCGGAGCCCACCGACCGGAAUGGAGGCGGUUACCGGAGAAGCAUAGGUCCGGCGUCCACCAGGAGAAGGGAGGCGGGCAGAUGUGGUGGAGACCGUGCAUCCAUCGAUGGGGAUCAAGGCGGAUCCGUUCGCGGGACAGAACCUGCGGCCUCACCUCCACCCGAGUGAUCCGGCCUUCUUGGAGGGCUUGGCGGCCUCUCUACGAACACCACAUAACCCUCGUGGCUGCCUCUGGCCAGAUGGUUCUGGAUUGUUUUUGGUUUGUUGACAUGUCCUUGCAUUUGUUCACGGUGUUUGUCUAGCCCGCCUAGCAAAACAUGUCUAAUGGUCUUUGCUUCCCUGGCCGUCCGACCAUUAAUGCUUGCGCCUUCUGUCUAGCUGUCCACAAAAAUGGCAUAUGUGCAAGAUCUUGCGUGUUGAUAAGUGGCAAGCGCACCUGUUUGAGGUACUACAGAGAUUAUGAGCAAACAAUUUGUUUCGGCCAGAUCUUCUCAUUAUCCGAGACCCAUCGGCUGUGCCUGCGACUGGCAUGCCUUCGGUGCUCAUGUCACACAGAUGACAUAGUCACUUUGCAAUCAGCAUAGCAGGUUAAGGUUUUCCACCAUAACACCCAAAGCAUCUGCAACUCUGCGUCCCUUGGGAUUAUUUCUAAUGAAUUCAUGGAACUGUUUCAGAAUACCGAACUUCAGAACCUGAAGAUGCGAACAUGUGUGAUUCUGAGAUCCUAAUUCCAAGUUGUGAAUUCCUAUUGCAAUAUGCUCUUUAGGAGGAGGAACUGAGCAAGAGGUUGCGUUGCAAAAGAACACCAUAAUUACAUUGAGAUCAACGUAUCAGGUUGGGCCAAAAGUAAGGAGUAGAAGAAUAUCUAAACGGGUGAAAGAAAGGGCCUGCACCAAAAUGUGAUAUAUUAUCUGCCAACCUACCACUUCUAAGUCUGAAGGUCCACGGUGCAUUGUAGUAUUUUGUAGUAGUUAUCAAAUAUCAAGUACCAGGCAUAAUUAUGCCUCAUCCCCCUCUUAGUUUGUUCAUGAACAUCGUGGGGCUAAUAUACUAUGUUGAAUUUCUCUGUA